This is a non-coding RNA of Rattus norvegicus (Norway rat), 4159 nucleotides long. NCBI's taxonomy places the organism in Eukaryota, Metazoa, Chordata, Mammalia, Rodentia, Muridae. The record is from RefSeq and is a predicted model, not a curated record.
CUCAGAGGGAUAGAUGACAUCUUAAAGAGAUGGGUCAUGGCAUUUCUCAGGAAAACAUUCAAGUAACAUUCUGAUGCACAGUGAUCUAUCGUUGGAAAGAGGUUGGUAAAUGCUCAGGAAGCAUACAGGGUUUUAAGUAUCCUAUAUGCGUUUUUUUUUUCUGGGCCAAAGAAAGUUCAAGUUGUGUAUCAUGGUUACCAACGGAACUAGAUCAUGGAUGCUUUUAAACUCUAUACUACAGCUGAGGAUGAAAGAGAAAAAAAUAAAACAGGUACCAUGAUUGGCAACAAGACGAUAAUGGGUCAGUGCCGACUCGCAACUCUGGAGGACUCCGAUGCCAGCCCAGUAGCGGUAACCCUGUAAGACACCUUGGAGUGAGACUACAGCACCAGCACAGGUUUCUAUAGAGCCAAUCACACUCAGAAUCUGCUUCUGCAGUCCUUUGACCCACUCACUCCAACAAGAAGUCCAUAGCUAAGCGCGAGAAAAGAACACUCCUAGAGCAACCAAACAAGUGCCAUGAGCUUCCCGAAAAGGCACGAAUGAAUAGGACAAAAGUAUCCCAGGACAUCAGUGUCCAAGCAAUCUCAGGAAUGAAGAAACACCAGGUGGUUAGGUGGCAGCCAUAUCCACUAGAAACCGUGAGUCAUGAAGUCACCCGGCUAAGCCUGACACAGCUCCAGCGAAGCUGAGCCAAUCGAGGCACACGCUGCCCUUCUGUCUCUAACUUCUGGGUUUUGGUCUCUCCAUGUUGCUAGGGACUUUCUGCAUUGAUUCAUUUUAUGUCUUUUCCUGGGAAAAUUAUGUCUAAGUCUUUUUUUGGGUAUAAUCCUAAAAUUAACUUUAUCUGGCUCUAUCUGGAGGUUUUCUUUAUGCCCUGGAGACUAUGAAGCACAGAGAAGCACACAGCUAGAUGAGGCCAUUACUCCAGGAAUUGUCUUGUGGUUUCUGCCCCUGAGCAGGCUCUAACAGUAUAAUUGGUGCAGGGUAAACAGACAAUAGCAAACUCUGACUGGCCAGGAGAAUGGUUACAGAUUCAAGCCUCCAUCUACAAUACUCUUAGAGCUCUCUGAAAGUGUAGUUUAAAGAUAGGGAUGGUACAAGGUACAUCCUGGGGGAAUAACAACGCAGUAAGAUAAGGUUGACUAAAAUAAGUUCUUCCUACUUUAUAGUGUAGAAGAUGAAAUGUACAGUAAAAGAAGUGAGGUAUUAGUAUUUGCUAGUCAUAAAAAGACCUGUUCAUAUUUUUCUGUUUGUCUGGGGUGCUUUCAAACUGCAAACACUGCCAACCUAAAAGCAGGCUGUCAUAUAAUGAAUGAGUUUCCCUUGGAGGAGACAUUUUUUAGGUUGUCUAAACUGGAGUUACAGGGUUGGUAAUAAAACCUGUCCUGCCUGUAUUUUCUAAUUGUGAGUAGACUUGUAAUGUGGGACGUGUAAUGAAAAAUUGAACACACAAUCUGUAUUCCUUGGAUAAUCAUUAGUCUGCCUUUGUUCUUGAAACAUGUAUAACUGGUUGCUAGUCAGUCAGUCAUAUUACCCAAGUGAUAAGGGCAGAGUGACAGAGAAGAGGAGUGUCAUUAGUCUAUUUCAGCCUUCCUUGCAGUUAGGUAAGACUAUGAUCCUAGAUAUGGUUGCAAAGAAGGCCAGCUGUUGCCCAGGAGUCACCAUUUACAAGGAAGCAACACAAGGCUCAACCUCAUUGGCAGAGCAAGAAGUAUCUGACUUGGGGAUCUGACUGCUGCAUCAGCUAUACCUAAUUACCACAGAGAGAGUGCUUGGUGGGCUCUGAAUGGAACAACACUGCCUUAAAGACAUCAAUGCCCUGAGGAUAAUAUAUGUGUACAUAGGUUUACUUAAGUUGGUUUAAUUAAGAAGGGAAAAUAUUUCAGAAACAAGAAAAACAGUUAAGAUAGCAUCUGUUAAAACGAUUAAAAAUGAGACUAAAAAUGAGAAGAAAGGACAGUGGAUUUAUUAAGUAUUCCCAGAAAAUAAUGGGUAUGAUCCUGCUAGUAAAACACCUCGAGAGGAUUGUCUCACAAAUUCAUUCCAUUAUGGUUAGGGGGAAACAGGCAUUUUUCUAGGUGGCAGAAAAACUUUAGAGGAAAAUGUAUCUUAUAAAAAAAUUUCAUAAAUUAGCAUGUAUUCCAACAAUUUAUUCUUAAGUAUAACUCAUAUUUUGAUUAAGCCUGAAUUAUCAGAGGCAGUUUAAAUAAACACAAUGUAUAAUAAACACAACCUAGAAGUGUAUGUAUGGACGUAUGUACAGAUGUAUGCUAUGUAUAUGGGUGCUUUGCCUGAAUCUGUGAGUAAAAUACUCUUGCAGGCCAGGAGAGGAUGCUGGAUCCAGUGGAAGAGGAAUUACGGCUGUGAGCCACCCAGUGGUUGCUGGGAAUUGAAUCAUCUGGACCAGCAGCCAGUGCUCUUAACAGCUGUGCCAUUUCUUCCUUCUCCAAUCAGAUGGCCUCUUAAACCUAGGCAUCAACCUCUGUAUUCUCUGUAUUACUAACUGGAUGUUGUGCAAUGUGGUAUUGCAAUUCACUUAUAAUGAAUAGCUAAAAAUAGUUACUUAGGUUUGCCAGCCUUUAGCUGUGGUAUUUGGCUUACAGGAAAUACAGGUAAUAGAAAAACUAACUAAUGGAUACUAUGACGAGGACAAUUGCAGGCCGGACAUUCUGUAGAAAAAAACCGCAUCUACUUCUAACAUAGAAACAAAUCAAGCACCUAACCAACCAAUCAGACAAAGGCUGGGUUAGAAAUAACAGCAAUGUAAUGCUGUGAUGGGCACUUGGCUGGACAAAGAUUGGGAUAAGCUCAAUGCUGUAAGAAUAUAUUAUGGAUAUAUAGACUGGAGAGAUGGUGUGUGUGUGUGUGUGUGUGUGUGUGUGUGUGUGUGUGUGUGUUUGUGUGUGUAGGGCACUACUAAGAGAUUGGAUCAGUGCCUUGCAUAUGCUAGGCAAAAGUUCUUUUUCUUGACUAUAUCCCCAGUCCCAAAACAUUUUAUUAAUUUAUUUAUUUCUUAAAGAUGUCAAUAUUGGCUGGAGAGAUGGAUGGCUUAGCUGUUAAGUGUGCUUGCUGCUCUAUCACAAGGAUCAGAGUUCAGAUCCCAGUACCAAUGUCAGGAUGCUCACCAACACCUGUAAUCCCAGAUCCCAGGGAUCUGAUACUGUUUCCUGGCCUCUCAGCACACCCAUAACACAUACACACACACACACACACACACACACACACACACACACACACACACACACAGACACACACACACUCAUAUACUAACAGACACUAAUACACAUUAAAAUAUUAAGGUUAAGCUUAGGGGAAAUACUAUGCUGAAUAAUUUCAGAUAAAUUGCUGCUGUAGAAUUGUUCUUCAUAUUUCACUCUCUAUAGAUUUAAUACUAAAAAACUACAAAAGAAAUUGUGGUACAAUGUAGAUAUAAAGCUAUUUCCAUGAUCAUAAACCUUCUUAGAUGAAGGGAAACAAGUAUCCAAGAAAUUAAGUAAAACAGUCUGUUGUCGCUCAGUCCCCUCUAGUUAUUGAAAGAAGUCGGGGCUUGGAGAACAAACUGCUCUUAGAAUCAACAAGCUCUGCGUACUGCAGAGAGCCUGGAGAGAGGGCUCCGCAGUUAAGAGAUGUGCUGCUCUUCCAGAGGACCCAGUUCAGUUCUCAGCACUCAUGCUACUUGCCUCCUGCACUCACAUGCACACAGACACAUAGAUGUUCACACUUUAUUAAAAAAAUUACAAAGGGGCAGGUGCUGGGGAGAUGGCUCUAUAGUUAAGACACUGUGUGAUUCCCACACCCACAUGGUGGCUCACGACCAUCUAUAACUCUAGUUCCAGGGGACAGGACACCCCCUUCUGAUCUCCCUGAGUACCAGGCACACAAGUGGUGCAGACACACAUGCAGGCAAAACAUUCAUGCACAUAAACAAGGCCCCAACCCCAACCAACCCCAAACCAAAACUCAACAACAACAAAGUGCCAUGUACAGAGGUUCUCCACUGAAGCCACACUUACAGUUUGUCCUUUGGGAGACCCUUCCUCAGUCAGUUUCUCAAACAUCUCUUUAGCUGCCUGGAUAUUCUGUGUGAGGUAAUCACCAAACAAGAGAGCAUAGGACACUCUCUCCAGGGCUUUGGUGUGAUUCAUGCCUGCUGCCU